RNAcentral lists this ribosomal RNA (303 nucleotides) under uncultured bacterium. RNAcentral describes it as "partial 16S ribosomal RNA". It matches the Rfam family "Bacterial small subunit ribosomal RNA", at positions 507 to 809 of the family's 1533-position model. The record is from RNAcentral.
AGCAGCAGCCACGGUAAUGCGUAGGUGGCGAGCGUUGUCCGGAAUUAUUGGGCGUAAAGGGAGCGCAGGCGGACAUAUAAGUCCAUCUUAAAAGUGCGGGGCUCAACCCCGUGAGGGGAUGGAAACUGUAUGCCUUGAGUGCAGGAGAGGAAAGCGGAAUUCCCAGUGUAGCGGUGAAAUGCGUAGAUAUUGGGAGGAACACCAGUGGCGAAGGCGGCUUUCUGGACUGUAACUGACGCUGAGGCUCGAAAGCCAGGGGAGCGAACGGGAUUAGAUACCCCAGUAGUCCCUGUCUCUUAUAAA